UACAGAGGUCCCAAGCGUUGUUCGGAUUCACUGGGCGUAAAGGGUGCGUAGGUGGCCUAGUAAGUUUGAUGUGAAAUCUCCGGGCUUAACCCGGAAAUGGCAUUGAAUACUCUUGGGCUAGAGGAUUGGAGGGGGGACUGGAAUUCUCGGUGUAGCAGUGAAAUGCGUAGAUAUCGAGAGGAACACCAGUGGCGAAGGCGAGUCCCUGGACAACACCUGACACUGAGGCACGAAAGCCGGGGGAGCAAACAGG
RNAcentral lists this ribosomal RNA (253 nucleotides) under uncultured bacterium. Its description in RNAcentral is "partial 16S ribosomal RNA". It matches the Rfam family "Bacterial small subunit ribosomal RNA", at positions 524 to 776 of the family's 1533-position model. The record is from RNAcentral.